GCAUGCAGCCAUAUUACUCUGUAUCUCACAACUAAGCAGGUGUGAGCCUGGUCAGUACCUGGAUGGGAGACCUCCUGGGAAAAACUAAGGUUGCUGCUGGAA
Molecule: ribosomal RNA, 102 nt
Filed under: Lepisosteus oculatus (spotted gar)
Lineage: Eukaryota; Metazoa; Chordata; Actinopteri; Semionotiformes; Lepisosteidae
Source: RNAcentral